Molecule: non-coding RNA, 213 nt
Filed under: Peptococcaceae bacterium
Lineage: Bacteria; Bacillati; Bacillota; Clostridia; Eubacteriales; Peptococcaceae
Description: T-box sequence
Rfam family: T-box leader
About the family: Uncharged tRNA acts as the effector for transcription antitermination of genes in the T-box leader family. T-boxes are found upstream of many aminoacyl-tRNA synthetase genes and some amino acid biosynthetic genes usually in Gram-positive bacteria.
Source: RNAcentral
UCUUAGGCGAUGAUGAGAAAGAGUACAAAAAGGAAUUGCGACAAGCGAGGAUGGGGUAGUGGAAGCCAUUUGCAAGGAAUUUUUAGAAGUGCGUCUCGGAGUUGAUUGGAAGAAGGGAAAGUAUUCCGAUCCGUCGUAACUGCGUUAAAGUUAUAAGCUGGAACGACAUGGUCGUUCAAUCAGAGUGGGACCGCGGAACCUUUCGUCUCUGGA